AAUCAACGCUGGCGGCGUGCCUAACACAUGCAAGUCGAACGAGAAAGUGGAGCAAUCCAUGAGUAAAGUGGCGACCGGGUGAGUAACACGUGACUAACCUACCUUCGAGUGGGGGAUAACCUCGGGAAACCGGGGCUAAUACCGCAUAAUGCCGAGAGGUUAAAGGAGCAAUUCGCUUGAAGAGGGGGUCGCGGCUGAUUAGUUAGUUGGCGGGGUAACGGCCCACCAAGACGAUGAUCGGUAGCCGGCCUGAGAGGGCGCACGGCCACA
Molecule: ribosomal RNA, 270 nt
Filed under: uncultured bacterium
Lineage: Bacteria
Description: partial 16S ribosomal RNA
Rfam family: Bacterial small subunit ribosomal RNA
Source: RNAcentral